Molecule: ribosomal RNA, 628 nt
Filed under: uncultured fungus
Lineage: Eukaryota; Fungi
Description: eukaryotic LSU rRNA
Rfam family: 5.8S ribosomal RNA (bases 281-433)
Source: RNAcentral
CUUGGUCAUUUAGAGGAAGUAAAAGUCGUAACAAGGUACUCGUAUGUGAACCUGCGUGUGGAUCAUUAAUAGUAAAUCAGUUGGGCUUUUGCCUGACUGUGUGUCUUGUGAAUCUUCUUUGUGGCAGUGUGAGGAUGGUGGUGAUAUGACCUCUUGGUGUGUUGUGUGUGUGUGUCUGCCGUAGGUGGAAUGCAGCAUUACAUUCACCAGUUGUUGAUCAUUGCGUUUCUGGCAUUGUGCAGAGAACAAGAAUAUGUUUAACAUAGUCAUAAUUAUUUACAACUGUUGGCGACGGAUCAUUUGGCUCUUGUAACGAUGAAGAACGCAGCGGGUUGCGAAACGUGAUGCGAUACGCAAAACCUGUGAGACGUCGAGUUUUUGAACGCAGCAUGCGCCAGUAGGGCAACCUAUGGGCAUGUCUGUCUGAGUGUUUUCACCACUCUUCCAGGCAAAUCGGGGUCGGCCAAGCAAUUGGUGUGUCUCUCUGCGUGGGAGUGUCUUGCCUGCUUGCAGGUGUGUUUGUGCUGCUUGGCCGCAGCAUCAAUCUCUGAGAGCUUGUUGUGAAUAUAUAUGGUUUGGGUGUGCUGGUUUGCUGGCUGCUCUUUCUGUUACAUGCAAGCCCUUGGCA